This is a long non-coding RNA of Carassius auratus (goldfish), 5286 nucleotides long. Lineage: Eukaryota; Metazoa; Chordata; Actinopteri; Cypriniformes; Cyprinidae. The record is from Ensembl.
AUGGAUGAUUAUAAAUGGACGUUAUUCAAAAGUGUUGUAAGCUUAAAAUGCUUGAAUUUAACAGUCCAAGGACUCCUGGUGACUUUCCUAACACAAUCACGUUCUAGAAAGCAUUAUGAAGGGAAAAUGGAGAGUUUGUUUGGGAGGGCCAGUAAUGAGGCAGAUCAUAAUCAUCAAAGUCAUAAUUCCACUUGUGGUCAGCCACUUACUGGACCUGGUGAAUCAGAUUCAGUCUCUGUGAUAUACCCUGAGCAGAGAUGGGGCAGAGAAGAUGAUUUAGACCAGAGCAAGCUACUUCCUGAGCAACCGGACAGCAGGUACUAUGAAGAGCUCAUCCGGCCUAAAAAGCUCCACAAUCCCAUCAAAACAUCCAAGAGCCACCGGGAACUCCAGAGAGAGCUGAUUAUUACACACAAAAGUUGCACACUGGCAAAGAAUUUGAGUUUGAAACAAUUUUUAACCACGAACAAGCUUAGUUGCAGCCUUAAUGUAUCACCUGACCCAAUUCCUAAUCUCAAUUCAAACGCGGUUUAAAUCACCAUUGUAUGUACAAGUUUUGUCCAACAGAGGGCAGUAAAGCCAAAGUUGUGUAUAUUCAGAUUGUAUAAAAAGACUCUGGCGGAGUUUUCCUCUUGUGGAUACAUUAAAUAAUAAUAAUAAUAAUAAUAAUCAGAUCUGGGGCACUUGUAACAUUUUUUACAUUUUCCUUCAUAAAUCACAGACUGCUUGAGAUACUAUCAUCUUUUGAUACAAGAAACAAAUAUAGGUUCACUAAUGAAUAAUCGAAUUUUCACUAAUAAGGAUAAGACUUUUUAAUUGAAUGCAAUAAGUCAGAUUGUUACAACUGCCCCUUGGUGGGGGCGAUUGAAACACUGUUUGAGGGCAACUGUACCACUGAAAAAUAAGUCAUAUUAACCCACUAUUUCUCAAAGACAAGCCUAUACUCAGUGAUCACUGCUGUGGUGUUACUUAGUGUUUUUUUUUUUUAAGAUGUAGUCAUAUAUGUUCAAAAAGCAAAAGUCUGUACAUCCGAAAAGUAACUUUCAUACCUCAAAAAGUGCUGUGGAGAAAGAGCUGUAAUCAUGUAUCACCAUACAACACUGAUCUACAGGAGCGUUGAUACUCCUCCAGCUGCUGAAUCGAACAGUUCUUUCGUUUUAUUUAGAAAGCUUGGGGUUUAGAUUUUGAAUUAAAUCACAGAUUGUGAGAAACCAAUGUGGACAAGAAUGUUGAAAAUGUGGGCCAAUGCUAUGUCAGUGUUAAGACCUGUUAAGCACUUGAAAGAGUUCACUUUAAAUUGCUGAUUAAGUGGCUGUAAUUUGCAGCAAUGAGAGAAACACACAAAAACAGAAUAACUCUAAUGUACUGGAACUGUAUGUAAUAUUUUUCUUAAGUAUAUGAACAUGGCUCAAAUCAUUUGAUAUGUUCAAAUAUGCAUACUAGUUUCGGAUACAGUGCACUAGUAUAUUUAACAAAAUGUGCAGUAUGAAAAGAAAAUAGGGAAAACUGUAUCCCAUAAUGCAGUUUCAGAUUAAAUUGUCCAUUUAGUUUGACAAAUGAACUGGCACUGUAAAUGACAAAUUGUAGCAUCUCUUUUCCUUGACUUAUUUGAUUCGACAGACAAUCUGAAUUAUUUAAAAUAACAUACAUAAUGCAUACUUUCCAUACAAAUUGUUUUUAAACGAAAUACAUUAUCACACAAUAUGAUACAAUUAUCCUUUACAGAUAAGAUAUUAAUGUAUACUGCCUCUGUUUGUGUAAGUGGCUUUUUACUUAGAGGAAUAGUUUGCUUUUUAAACAGACUUCAUGAAAUUUAGCAUUACAUCACUUGCUCAUCAGUGGAUCCUCUGCAGUGAAUGGGUGCCGUCAGAAAGAGAGUCCAAACAUCUGAUAAAAACACCACAAUAUUCCACACCACUCCAGUCCACCAAUUAACAUCUUGUGAAGUGAAAAGCUGCAUGUUCUAAUAAACAAAUCCGCCAUUAAGGAGUUUUCACUUAAAACUAAAGUCAUGUGGAUUAUUGUUACUGUUUGGACUCUUAUUCUGACGGCACCCAUUCACUGCAGAGGAUCUAUUGGUGAGCAAGCGAUGUAAUGCUAAAUAUUUUUUCAAAUCUUUUCUGAUGAAGAAACAAUCUAUGUCUUGGAUGACCUGACGGUGAGUACAUUUCAGCCAGUUUAAAUUUUUGAGUAAACUAUUCCUUUAAGAGCAUUUCCACUUAUACAGUGUUAACAUAAUGAAUUUGAUCUCAUAUUUCAGCUUAGUGUUUUGUAAAUAUGUUUUGUACAUAAAGGGAUGUUGACAUUUUACAGUUAAGAGUAUAUCAUUUGAAAAUACCAACCACAGUCUGCCUUUAUUUGCACUGUACACAAAGAUUUUACUGAACACACAAUGCAUAGACAAGGAGUGUUUAUUCAUAACGUGCUACUAACUGUAUAUUUGAAGGGUAUAAAUCAUUGGCUCUUCAUAACUCCAUUAAUAACACAUGAUGCAUUGCAUCCAUACAUUUGUAGCUUUUACAAAAAAGAUAUACAAUAUAUGUAUACAUCAUGUUUAUGUAUAAACACAUACUGUAUUUGUGUCUCCUCUUCACUUUCUGAAGUGUGCGCAUUUCCAUGUGAAAAAAAGGUCAUAAUUGAUUUAUCUACUACUAAAGGGAGGAAUUAACUACCCAAUAACAGAGGUGUAACUUCCUAUAGUACUUUUCAAAGCCAAAGUAAGUCAUAGAUGACUCUUAAUGAUAUUUAAUCCGACCUUCUGAAGCAGUUUGCAUAAUUACCAUAAUGAACUGAUUGCUGAACUGCUCAUUAGACUGUUGCAUUUUUAUACGAAUUACAUCGUUGAUUGCACUUGGGUUUGACUCAGUUGUAAAAUUAAACAUUUUAAUUAUAUAUGUACUUAAUAUUUUAGAAUUUUAUUUAAUUUAAUAUUUAUAUCAAAAAAAGAAAGAAAAGAUUUUACAGAAAAAAUGAAAAUGCUGUUACAUUGACCACACUUAUAAAUAAAUGAUAAAUAAUCAAUAAAUAAUAAAGACACAAGACUAAUCAUUCAUAGGUUUAAAAGGAAAAAGUAUUUCGUAUUAGGGGUCCAUUAGCAAAACAAAAUACUUGAUAUUUUAUAUAUUGUUGGCUUCAAGUAAGCAAUGUGCUCAAAUUGGCACUGAUAUGAUAUACUGAUGAACAAGGUGAUAAAUGUUCUUGCAUUGUUCUUUUUGCAUUAAUCCAGUUUUAAAGUAAGGCCAGUACUGAGGUCUCAGCAAUCAGCAAUUUUGACUUAAAACAAAACAUCUAUAUUUUAUAAAGAAAAAGAAACAGAUUAACUGUCAAAAUUUCUUGUGCCUCCGAUCUCACAAUGACAUUUUGACACAGUUUGCAAUUAGUAUUGUAGUAAAGAUAUGAAUUUGAUCAUCGCUCUUGUAAACAUAUUUUUACGAGGUCAUGCAAACAUUAGAUGUCUUCUGCACAGAAGAACAGUAAAGAUUAUGGCCAGCAACCCAAACAAAAGAAUCUUAACAAUCAACCAAUCAGCUCACACAACAUGCACAACAUUAAAAAAUUGAUUUCUUUUUCGGUUGCAGAACUUAACCAGCAUUGCGACAAAAAGUAGUUAAUCAGCAUUUGUUCCAGUAACCUUAAAUAAUGCCUCUCGUGUGAAGCACAUACGAAACUCGACUCACAAUUGAUUGCAACAGAAUUUGAUGCAGGCAUACUUGAAAAAGCAUAAAUCUAAAUAGCUCACACAAAUAUUGGGUUAAAUAGUCAGUGAUUUUUCUAAUACUUUUAAAUAUUUAGAUAAAUAUAUUUACUAAAGUUGUUGCACUGCAUCAUGAGAUUGCUUUCAAAGUAAAUGAUUCACUCUAUCAUAUAUUUUUGGCUAAAAUAAGGUGUCUUAAAAAGCGGCAUGAUGUUGCAGCAUAACGGGAGUGUGCCUUCUCACUACACUUAGGCCGAAAUUUAAGGUUUAUAUAUUUGAAUUGCUCACAAUAUUUCCAUCCAUUUGGAUUGCACAGUUUUAGAAUAAACAAAGUAAACUUAAUGUGAUGCAUAUUUGUCUGUCACGCAUAAAUAAAACAUAAGAUUUUGCAUUGAAUUACAUAUUUUAUUGUUAACUAUUUGCAUAUUUCAUUUAAAUAUAAUCAAAUAAUCAAAAUGCAUUAACUUAAACUGCUUGGAAACAGCAUAAAUCUGGUAAUUGUGAAAACAAGCAUAUUUAUUCAGUUAAAAACAAAAGUAUGAACGGUUAAAAUAUGGCUAGCUGUGGAGCAGGCAAUAUUAAUUUAAAUGUAUAAGUCUGAAACAAAUUGGAUUUAUUGAGGAUAAAUAUACAAACUGGUUAUUGUGUAUAUAAAACACAUUUAGUUUAUUAGUAAUAUUGUAGAAAUCUUCCCUGUUUCAUUAAUUCAUGGCAGUAUGAAUGACAAAUAUGCAUUACAUUAAUUUAUUAGUUUAGGUUAAAAACUGUAAUUCAAAUGGCUGGAUAUUUUAUAUGCAAUUCAAAUAUAUACAUCUUAUUAUAUUCAGUAGCUAUAGACUAAUUUCGCCCCAUAAAUUCUAAAACUCAGAAACUUUAUUUAAAACGGAGAUUAUCUAGGUUUGAUAUUGCAUUUAAUCUAGGUGUAAAAAGAAAAAAAAAAGCAUUGGACUGUGUCUCAAAUCUCUUAAACUCAUCAGUCACAUGCUUCAAAUGAUGGUUUACACCCACAAUGAGAUCAUGUGGUCUCUGUAACAGCUUGGAGAUACUCUUUUUUUAUACCUGUCUGAACUAGAUCACAAAAUCAAUCACAUGGAUAAUUACCAAACAGAACAAAGCUACAAUGGAUUAAGGCGUGGAAAUGUCUUAAAGAUAUGACCAUCUUGUUUCGUCAUGAAUUUAUUGCCUGAGCAAGUGGGGCUUAAGACAUGAAUAUUUAUUAAGACUUUGUAUAACUAGUGGCUUUCUGAGACCAAAUUGCUACGGGGUACACACCUGAACGUUUUCUUUAAAAAUAAAUAAUAAAAGAAAGAAAUAAACCUUACAUAAAAGUACAAAUUAAACAUACUGUCAUCUUUGGUUGGGGUACAGAAAUAUUAAUCAGACAAAAUUAAAUGAUAGAGAAGUUACAUAUCUGUCAAUGAUAUACCCAAGUCUGAACGUCUGGAACAAUGAUGCUCUCCUUCUCACGUCCGUCCGUCCCACCAGCAGCACUAGCUCCAUCUAGUGCAUGUUACCAGGAAAGCUCUGUGUUCCGGGUCAGACGGGUGCGGUGGACGUGCAUGUGUGGGUUCCCCUGGGUUCCUCUAGGUUCU